This 849-nucleotide ribosomal RNA is filed under the name Phragmocamarosporium magnoliae. Its description in RNAcentral is "Phragmocamarosporium sp. DNW-2022b partial large subunit ribosomal RNA". It matches the Rfam family "Eukaryotic large subunit ribosomal RNA", at positions 74 to 937 of the family's 3401-position model. The record is from RNAcentral. Lineage: Eukaryota; Fungi; Ascomycota; Dothideomycetes; Pleosporales; Lentitheciaceae.
AUUGCCCUAGUAACGGCGAGUGAAGCGGCAACAGCUCAAAUUUGAAAUCUGGCUUCCUUUGGGGGUCCGAGUUGUAAUUUGCAGAGGGUGCUUUGGCGUCGGCAGCGGUCUAAGUUCCUUGGAACAGGACAUCACAGAGGGUGAGAAUCCCGUACGUGGUCGCCUGCCUUCGCCGUGUAAAGCCCCUUCGACGAGUCGAGUUGUUUGGGAAUGCAGCUCUAAAUGGGAGGUAAAUUUCUUCUAAAGCUAAAUACCGGCCAGAGACCGAUAGCGCACAAGUAGAGUGAUCGAAAGAUGAAAAGCACUUUGGAAAGAGAGUCAAACAGCACGUGAAAUUGUUGAAAGGGAAGCGCUUGCAGCCAGACUUGCUCGCAGUUGCUCAUCCGGGUCCGCCCGGAGCACUCUUCUGCGAGCAGGCCAGCAUCAGUUUGGGCGACCGGAUAAAGGCCUCUGUCAUGUAUCUUCCUUCGGGAUGACCUUAUAGGGGAGGCGUAAUGCGGCCAGCCCGGACUGAGGUCCGCGCAUCUGCUAGGAUGCUGGCGUAAUGGCUGUAAGCGGCCCGUCUUGAAACACGGAUCAAGGAGUCUAACAUCUAUGCGAGUGUUUGGGUGUCAAGCCCGGGCGCGUAAUGAAAGUGAACGGAGGUGGGAACCCUCUUCGGGGGGUGCACCAUCGACCGAUCCUGAUGUCUUCGGAUGGAUUUGAGUAAGAGCAUAGCUGUUGGGACCCGAAAGAUGGUGAACUAUGCUUGAAUAGGGUGAAGCCAGAGGAAACUCUGGUGGAGGCUCGCAGCGGUUCUGACGUGCAAAUCGAUCGUCAAAUUUGGGCAUAGGGGCGAAAGACUAAUCG